UGCUUUGCGCAGUGGGGAUAACAUAACCAAUGAGGCUUUGUCGAAGUAUGUUAAUUGCUGGUCGAGAACUUCUCAAUUGCCCCGGUCGACCCCGAAACAUGGGAGUGAUGUGCACUUUUGGAUCGCCUCUAGGA
This 134-nucleotide small nuclear RNA is filed under the name Angiostrongylus costaricensis. RNAcentral describes it as "U4 spliceosomal RNA". It matches the Rfam family "U4 spliceosomal RNA". From Rfam's summary of the family: U4 small nuclear RNA (U4 snRNA) is a component of the major U2-dependent spliceosome. The structure of U4 snRNA from yeast and human has been reported. Lineage: Eukaryota; Metazoa; Nematoda; Chromadorea; Rhabditida; Metastrongylidae. The record is from Rfam by way of RNAcentral.